Molecule: ribosomal RNA, 465 nt
Filed under: uncultured bacterium
Lineage: Bacteria
Description: bacterial SSU rRNA
Rfam family: Bacterial small subunit ribosomal RNA
Source: RNAcentral
CCUACGGGCGGCACCAGUGGGGAAUAUUGCACAAUGGGCGCAAGCCUGAUGCAGCCAUGCCGCGCGUAUGAAGAAGGCCUUCGGGUUGUAAAGUACUUUCAGCGGGGAGGAAGGUGUUGUGGUUAAUAACCACAGCAAUUGACGUUACCUGCAGAAGAAGCACCGGCUAACUCCGUGCCAGCAGCCGCGGUAAUACGGAGGGUGCAAGCGUUAAUCGGAAUUACUGGGCGUAAAGCGCACGCAGGCGGUCUGUCGAGUCGGAUGUGAAAUCCCCGGGCUCAACCUGGGGACUGCAUUCGAAACUGGCAGGCUAGAGUCUUGUAGAGGGGGGUAGAAAUCCAGGUGUAGCGGUGAAAUGCGUAGAGAUCUGGAGGAAUACCGGUGGCGAAGGCGGCCCCCUGGACAAAGACUGACGCUCAGGUGCGAAAGCGUGGGGAGCAAACAGGAUUAGAUACCCCUGUAGUC